Long non-coding RNA from Pan paniscus (pygmy chimpanzee), 4691 nucleotides. The record is from Ensembl. NCBI's taxonomy places the organism in Eukaryota, Metazoa, Chordata, Mammalia, Primates, Hominidae.
AGUGAAGUGACUUGGUCAAGGUCACUCCGAUAACAAGUGCAGCCAAGGGCUCUAGAGCCUGGGUGUUUAACCCCUGCCCUGUGCUGCCUCAGUGUUGGUGGUGUUGAAAAGUGUGAUGUCAACAAUAACAUAGCAGCUUCCAUUUACUAUGAGUUAGCAGGAGUCAGGCAUAGCACCAUGUACCUCUACGUACAAACUUUAUUCCACCCCAGCUCUGAGAUAAGGGUGAACAGCCCCAUUUUAUAAAUGAGCCAUGUGGGCAGUUGGUGGGGAGGGUGAAGGCACUUGCUCAAGGCCACACAGCUCAUUGAGGAAACAGCUGUUUUGUUUUUUACUCCAGGCAGGUCCUGCUCUAAGCCUAGGCUCUUAACCGACUUCCUCUGCUGCCUCACAUUCUCUUUCUGUUUGACUUCUUCGGGAGGUCACUGCCCAUCUCUGGGCUUCAGUGCACCUUUUUUUUAAAUGUAGAGAUAUGCUCUAUUUUAUAAUUUUAAUUUUUAAGAGAGAUGAGAGUUUCACUAUAUUGCCCAGGCUGAUCUUGAACUCCUGGGCUCAAGUGAUCCUCCUGUCUCGGCCUCCCAGAGUGUUGGGAUUACAGGCGUGAGCCACUGUGCCCGGCCCCUCAGUGCACUUUUCAUCCACCAGUGUGUCUUUCUGAAUUCCUAACUGCCUAGACUGGAGUUGAGGGCUGGGGCAGGUACAAAGGAGGGAGGGGAGGCCGGGGUCUCUGCCCUCGGGGUGUCAGAUGCCUGCCUCCAUCCCCAAGGCGGCAUUUCUCCCAGUGCCUCUUACUGGUGGGGCACAAGCCACCUGCAGCAUGAUGCCUGGAGUGCUUGUUAGUAAGGCCGGUGCCAGCCCUAGAAAUUCUGAUUCAGGAGGCCUAGAUUGGGGCCUAGGAACCUGCAUUUAAAGAAGCAUGCCAGGGGAUGCUGAUACACAGCCUCCACAGGCCCCAUGCAUUCAGAUUCUGCCCGACUCUGCUCUUAAUUAAAAAGUCUUACAAAGAGAAUACGAAGAAUCAAGAAGACGAGAAUGGAGUUUAUUAUCGAAAUCGUGAUUUCCCAAAGUUGUCCCAGUUCAACCUGCAUCAGAAACACUUGAGCCUGCCAUGCAGAAUGCAGAUUCCUGGGCUUCAACCUGCCAACUUCCUAGAGUGGAGGAGGAGCUGAGGAAGAAGUAUGUCUACUUAAGAGGCCCCCAUAGACAUCCAGCCUCCUGGGCUCUGUCUCCAGCAUGAACCAGCCUGGUGGCUGUGACCUGGCCAGGGCAGCUCAACACUCAGGGUUCCACCCCAAGCCCGGUGAAAGUAUCACGAAUUUGUUGAGCAAUCGAAGCCCAAGCUCCCAUCAUCCCAACAGCUGCAGUGAAUCUAUCUGUGACUUCUCUGGAUACCCAUUAAAAAAUAGCUCUCAGUAAUAGGGUGUGGAGGGCUGAUCUGUCUGCAUGGCUCCAGCCAGAAUUUAUUAAGCUUUCUUUUUUUAAUUUCUUUUAAUUUCCCUUUUUAAAUUUCUUUUAAUUUCCCUACCUAUUGGGCUUGAGUGGCUCAUCAAUCAUGGGAUGCCUGCUGUGUAAGGUACAUCCUCAGUGCUGCCGUGUGACAUCCGGCCCACGCCUGUCCCCCAAGAGCAGACAGUGCCCAAGUGUCCUGUCCCUGCUUCAUGCUGAAUCCCUGAUACGAUCAAGCUUUUCCUUCAUCAGAACUUUGUCAUGACCACAUUCCUCUCUGCGUUGUGAAACAUUGGCUGUAAUUGCAAUUGGCUGGGCCUAGAUUGUGGAAGAGGAGGGCUUGAGAGCAGGUUUAUGGGGAAGGCCAUCAAGUGCUGGGCUCCUCCUCAGAAGCCCUUGCUCACCUGAGCAUCAUUCAUGACGAUCCUGAAUUGCCCCCUGGCUGCAAAACCACUAAAGGAAAAUCCAUUGGCUGUAGCCAGCCGGGCUCUCAGAGUAGCCCUGCUGAUGCAUCCAGCCUCAACCUUUGGCAUGUCUAGACCCAGGAUGCUUGUGACAGAUGGCUCCUGCCCCACCUCUCUGCCCUAGCUAUGAGCCAGAGCUAAGAGCAGCCCUGUCUUCUGAUUUCUCCCCACGGUAUCCAUGACCUAGAUCUACAUCCACAGGUAACUCUUGGCCAAGUGCCGAUGAAGGUAUUAGAAAUGGUGAGGGCUGGGUGGGUCUGCAGGAAAAAAAGGGAGUCUUUUACCCUCAGCCAGCCCCACACCUCUACCUGCCCAUAGUGCUCCUGGCUGAGUGCCCUACCUGCUCUUCGCUGGCCUUUCCAAUAUUAAUCACCUUCCAGGCUCCUGAUUAGCCUCACCUCAUAGUUCAGGCUUGACUGGGCAUCUCCUGUCCAUGGAGACUGCUUCCCCCAUAGCACAUGAUCAGUGCUAUGUGUCUUGACACAUAAUUGCUCUUUAAUUGUUUCUGCUGUUUUUUGUUUGUUUGUUUGUUUGUUUUUCUUGUCUCGCAGCUUCCCUAUGAGCUCCUUGGGGCAGGAAACCAGUUCACUUCUGUCUCACUCACUCACCCAUUCAUAGAUUUACUCAUGCAUUUAUUCACUCCCUACUCACUCUUCCACUCAGUCACCUAAAGCGUGUUAUCCUUAAAAGUGUUUUGGCCUCCCCUUGAUGACCACAUAUGAAUGAGACCAGAGAAAUGACCCAUCUUUUGAAAGUCCAGGUGAGAUAUUGUUCACAGGGCUAGGCUGAGUCCCAAGGCCCUAGCCUUGAUCUUGAUUUAUCUCCCAGAGACACAUGAGACUUUGGGUCACUUCCCCAAUGGGGACACUUCUCAGGUAGAACUGGAGCUCCUUCUGUAAGGUGCAGAAUAGGUUUAUUAUUAUUAUUAUUAUUAUUAUUAUUAUUUUUUGAGUCGGAGUCUCAGUCUGUCACUCAGGCUGGAGUGCAAUGGCACAAUCUCCGGCUCAAUGCAACCUCCACCUCCCGGGUUCAAGCAAUUCUGCCUCAGCCUCCCAAGUAGCUGGGAUUACAGGCGCCUGCCACCACGCCCGGCUAUUUUUGUAUUUUUAGUAGAGACAGGGUUUCACCAUAUUGGCCAGGCUGGUCUCAAACUCCUGACCUCAAGAUCCGCCCGCCUCAGCCUCCCAAAGUGCUGGGAUUACAGGCUUGAGCCACCGUGUCCAGCCAUUAUUAUUAUUUUUUAAAGUAGCUGGGCCUUGGUGAGCCAGCAGGCAGGACAAAGCUCCCUGAACCCUGCGCCUUCCCUGCCAGCUGUACUUUCAACAUCUGAGAGAGUGUAUAACAUGGUGAUUUAGAGUCAAAGACUUGGUCUUCCACCUGAUGACCUCGGGCAAGUUGCCCAACCUUCUGGGUCUCAGCUUUCUCAUCUGUAAAAUGGGAUUAACUGCAAUACUCAUUCAAUUUUAUGAAGAUUUAAUGUAAUAAUACAUGUAAAACACUUUGCAUAAGGACCAGAAUGUAGUAACCAAUUAGUGUUUGCUGAAAAUUUUAGGUUAUUAUUACCAGUAUGUAAAUAUUAUUAUCAUCCUCAUUUUACAGAAGAGAAAACUGAGCCCUAGAGAUGUUAAGUGAUGUACCUAAGGCUUGCAGUGAAUCAGUAGCAGAGCUGGUACUCAAGCACAGGCCUUCAGAGUUUGAGGCAGAGGCUAAGGCCAGGGAAUGUGGCUCCCUUUUCCUGCCCUGGCAUGGAAUAAGCCAUGGCCCAGCCAUGGGAUCCCUUCACAUCUUUGAGUUUCAUCUGUUAGUCAUUAGGUUGCAAGUAACAGAAGGGGUAGCUCAAACUGAGUAGAACAAAAAAGUAAUGUAUCAGCUUCUGUAACUGAAGAGGCCAGUGAUAUGUUCAAACAGUGUCAUGGAAAGCCAGUUACACUUUCUGGUUCAGUUAACUUUGUGGUGGCAUCAUUCGUAAGCAGAAUCUUUCCAUGAGGUAGCAGAAAUAGUGCCCAGUAGGGCUUGGCUUGUACCCCUACACCCCAAGCAUGAAAGAACACCUCUUCCCACACCGUUUCAGCAAAAAUCUCAAGUUUGAGUUUCAUUGGCCUGGCUUGGCCAUACAUCUGUCCUUGAACCAGUCCCUGUAGAUGGGAGAUUCACACUCUGAUUGGCUAGGCCUGGGGCACAAGGAUCCCAGGGUGGUGCUUACUCCACAUAAACCAACAGGCCAGAGAGCAGGGGAAGGUAAGGACCCCUUGGAAACCCGGGGUUCUGUUAUAAGAAGGAAGGGGCCUGGAGGCUGAACAGACAAAAAUAAUAGUUACCUAUACAAAUGGGAAUAAGACUUUCACAUUUCUUGUGAGAAUUAUUUGUGAUCAUGUGGAGAGCAUUUCUUUCAUCUUUGGGCCUCUAAGUGGUACUCUUUUUUUUCUUAUCGUCCUUGAUGUUCAUUUGACCCAAUUGUAUCCCCUUGCCCUUCCCAGUCCUCAGAUCCUUCUUCCAACCUCUUCCCCAUCUCAAUCUCUCUUUCCUGAAAUCACAGCCAGGAUUUGAGUCCAUGACUCCCCUGAGGCCCCAGUACAGAGGAGGAGGCCUUAUCAGUCAGGAUUGGUGACAACAGAACCCAACUCCAGUGAGCUUAGCUGAAAAGGGGGAUUUGUUGCUCAUCAGGAAGACCAAAAGGUCAGGCUUGAGAGCAAAAGGAAGGAGGCCCCUGCAGGGUCCAGCUGGGCAGCAAGGACUUCUCAACCGUCUUGUUCCUGUGCAGCUGCUGCUGUGCUGCAAAUG